Molecule: ribosomal RNA, 440 nt
Filed under: uncultured eukaryote
Lineage: Eukaryota
Description: SSU rRNA
Rfam family: Eukaryotic small subunit ribosomal RNA
Source: RNAcentral
CGAGGAUUGACAGAUUGAUAGCUCUUUCUUGAUUCUAUGGUAUUUUGGUGGUGCAUGGCCGUUCUUAGUUCGUGGAGUGAUUCGUCUGGUUAAUUCCGUUAAACGAACGAGACCUCAGCCUGACUAAAUAGUUGCUCGCCUUUUUUAUAAGACUUGACAACUUCUUAGAGGGACUUUGUGUGCAACCACAAGGAAGUUUGAGGCAAUAACAGGUCUGUGAUGCCCUUAGAUGUCCUGGGCCGCACGCGUGCUACACUGAUACGUACAACGAGGUAUAUGUACUUGUACAUCAAUGCUGCUCCGAAAUAGACGAGCUUAAUCUUAUAAAUACGUAUCGUGCUGCGGAUAGAUCGUUGAAAUUAUGAAUCUUGAAGGUGGAAUUCCUAGUAAGCGCACGUCACUAACGUGCGUUGAUUACGUCCCUGCCCUUUGUACACACC